AUACGUAGGUGACAAGCGUUAUCCGGAUUUACUGGGCGUAAAGGGCGUGUAGGCGGUCUUGCAAGUCAGAAGUGAAAUUCCUGAGCUCAACUCGGGCGCUGCUUCUGAAACUGCAGGACUUGAGUGCUGGAGGGGAUAGCGGAAUUCCUAGUGGAGCGGUAAAAUGCGCAGAUAUUAGGAAGAACACCGGUGGCGAAGGCGGCUAUUAUGAUAGUAACUGGCGCUGAGGCGCGAAAGCGUGGGGAGCAAAAAGGAUUAGAUCCCCUGGUAGACCCCGCCGUAAGCGAUGAAUACUAGGUGUAGGGGGUAUCGACUCCCUCUGUGCCGCAGUUAACACAAUAAGUAUUCCGCCUGGGGAGUACGGCCGCAAGGUUGAAACUCAAAUGAAUUGACGGGG
This 397-nucleotide ribosomal RNA is filed under the name uncultured bacterium. Its description in RNAcentral is "partial 16S ribosomal RNA". It matches the Rfam family "Bacterial small subunit ribosomal RNA", at positions 523 to 918 of the family's 1533-position model. The record is from RNAcentral.